AUGCUGCUGACAGAGCCUGAGGGAGACCCAGCGGCCCCAGGGUCAGGCCAGGAUCAGGAGAGGGUGCGGGUCGGAGGCUUCCGCGCCAUUUCCCAGGCGCGUUUCUAUUCUUUGGCCCCUUCGGGAAGCAACGGCCUUCGCGGACCUCUGUCCCGCCGGCAGACUGCCCCCCGGAGGCUGCACACACCAAGGAGAAAGCAGAAGCUUAGAGAAACGCCAAGAAUCCCUCUGUGCUGUGUUCCAGGCUGUCCCAAGAUUCUGACACCUCAUAGUAAGUCUUGUGUCCUGGUACACACCAGUGGGGAGUCUUGAGCUGUUGGGAGAGUCUGAGGAGGACACCUUGCCACCCUGGGACUGGAACUGACUUUAAGAGGGACCCUGAGGUAUGAAAGGAGAUUUGCUGGUAGGGUUAGGACCAGAGGGUUUGAGGAAUCCUCAAGGUCCCUGGUGAUUAGACUUUUUUUUAUUAUUCUUUUAUUAUUUAUUUCAAAAGAAGAAAGAAAUAUUUCAUGCGUUAGUUUACUUCCCUAAUGCCCACAAAAGCUGGAAAGGUAUGUAAAGCCAGGGUCUGGGAACUCAAUCCAAGUCUCCUAUGUGAAUAGCAGGAAUGUAAAAACUUGAGCCGUCACCUGCUGCCUCCCAGGUUGGAGUAGUAGGAAGCUGGAAUCAGGACUUCAGCCAGGACUUGAUCCUGGGCACUCUCAUGGGCUGUGGGGAUUCCAGUAGUGGCUUAGCUGCUAUACCAAAAGCCCAUCCCUGAUUAGUUCUUCCUUCAAAGUGUGGCUGGCUACUUGUGAGGGGUUUACCUCACCACUGCUAACUGGGCCUGCUGCACAAUUUUGUGAGCACCUUGUUCCAAAGGCAGUGGUAAAGUGCCACUAAAGAUACUAAAACAUAAAGCUCUUUCCUUUCUUCCAUGUAUCUCCUUGGCUCAGACUCAUGUUCUUUUGACUUGCUUACAAAACACAAGUUCAGAGAUAAAAUUUUGAGGCUUUUUAAGACACCACCAGCAGAGGUUUAAACCCAGUGCAGGCCCUUCUGAGUGCCAGCCCUGUGUGACUGUUCCUAUGUGACUAUGUAGGCUGCACGCCCAUGAGGUUAUCCCUGGCUGCUGAGUAUAACCCAUUGGCUUUAACCCAUCCAGGUCUAAUUGUAUGACACUCCAGGGCACCUGGGCAGACUUAAUGUCUUAUUAAGUCAGCUCCCUGAGGGUUGUGUGGACUAGCUAGUCAUACUGUCUUGUGAUCAAACUCCUUGAUUUUCCUUUUCCAGCUAGGUCUGGUAUCUGUUUCCGGUGUAAGGCUCCUCAUUCCUGGCCUUGAGCACUGAGAGGAACUGGAAUGCUGCUGUGGCAGAGACCUCCUGCAGGUUCUCUCAGCAUUCUGAGUCCCCACGACUCCGCUUAGUGCUUCUAUGGUACCACACUGUCAGAACUGUGUUCACAAAUGAGUCAGGGGACAGUCUGUUCCUGCUGUAUUCCUGCUCUGAGCCUGUCAAUCAAGUUUCACACAAGGCCGAUGAUAGAAAUGUUGCAUCCAGGCCAGUGCCGUGGCUCACUUGUCUAAUCCUCCGCCUGUGGUGCUAGCACCCCGGGUUCUAGUCCUGGUUGGGGCACUGGAUUCUGUCCUGGUUGCUGCUCUUCCAGUCUAGCUCUCUGCUGUGGCCCGGGAAGGCAGUGAAGGAUGGCCCAGGUGCUUGGGCCCUGUACCCGCAUGGGAGAUCAGGAGGAAGCACCUGGCUCCUGGCUUCAGAUCAGCGCAGCGCGCCGGCCAUAGCGGCCAUUUGGGGGAUGAACCAACAGGAAAGGAAGACCUGUCUGUAUGUCUGUCUGUCUCUCUCUCUCUGUCUAACUCUGCCUGUCAAAAAAAAAAAAAAAGAGAGAAAUGUUGCAUCCAAAACAGCCCCCUUAUAACUAAGGUCACCUUAAGAGCUCCACAAAUGGAUCUUGGACAGGAGGUCAGGACUUUAUGUGCAACUUGAACCUUUCCUGCCUUGGGAUGGUUACUGCCCCAACCCCCAGGACAUGUUCUGAGCUGCUUGGUCCUAGGUGUAGAGGCUCUGACCUCUGGAAAUGUUGUACUGAGUUGACUUCUGAGUGUCCAGAGGCCAGAAAAUAUGUAACAGAGUUCCUUGGAUCUGUGUGACCACUUGGAUAUCCAACUGUGAUCGCAGACAUGCAUGGUGGAUUUAUGAGUGCUGCCUCAGGGUGGAGCUGAGUACUUCCUGCUGGGACUGUGUGAUCUUCCUGGGAUGCCAGGGUGGCACAGCAACCCAUGGUGCUCUGGAGGCUCUCGCUAAAUCUGUGUGUAACUUAGAAGGUAAAAAUGUGUCUUUUCACUAGUAUGGAGCAGAGUCUCAGAAGGACAAGGGGAUGGUCCUAUAAGAAAUUGAUGCUGGGGCUGGCGCUGUGGCACAGCAGGUUAAAGUCUUGGCCUACAGUACUGGCAUCCCAUAUGGGUGCCGCUUCAUGUCCCAGCUGCUCGACUUCUGAGCCAGCUCUCUGCUAAGUCCUGGGAAAGCAGUAGAAGAUGGCCCGAGUCCUUGGGGCACUGUACCCAUUUGGGAGACCCAGAAGAAGAUUCUGGCUCCUGGCUUUGGAUCAUCUCAGCACUGGCCAUUGCAGUCAUGGGGGAGUGAACCAGCUGUUGGAAGAUCUCUCUCUCUCUCUCUCUCUGGCUCUCUCUCUCUUUCUGGCUUGACCUCUCUCUAACUUUUUCAAAUAAAAUAAAUCCUUUAAAAAAUAACUUAAUGCUA
Oryctolagus cuniculus (rabbit) is the source of this 2754-nucleotide long non-coding RNA. NCBI's taxonomy places the organism in Eukaryota, Metazoa, Chordata, Mammalia, Lagomorpha, Leporidae. The record is from Ensembl.